RNAcentral lists this non-coding RNA (27 nucleotides) under Rattus norvegicus (Norway rat). The record is from RNAcentral. Lineage: Eukaryota; Metazoa; Chordata; Mammalia; Rodentia; Muridae.
UACUCUUGCCCUUGAGUACCUCCCACU